Anas platyrhynchos (mallard) is the source of this 4266-nucleotide long non-coding RNA. RefSeq lists it as uncharacterized. Lineage: Eukaryota; Metazoa; Chordata; Aves; Anseriformes; Anatidae. The record is from RefSeq and is a predicted model, not a curated record.
ACUCAUAUUGAGCGUCUGGGUCUUCCUUCCGUCGGCAACAGAUUAGUGUGAUCCUUUCUCUUAAGAAGGAAAACAGUGCUUGGGAGCUACAAACAGAAGUACUAUAAUGAACAACAUUGUGUUCCAAUUCCUUCUUAAAUCCAUGCUUUCUGACAUAUUCUUGCAAUGAAUUCCAAAGGUGUUCUUAAGGUGUUCAGUCUCUAAGGUCAGCUCCAGACCUAUGAGGCUUCUGGGUCGGAAGAAAGAAACCAACCCUUCUGUCAUGAAGAGGAACGGCACUCUCUUCUGCUUCAGAUUUUCCUGUCAUGGAUUUUCCUUUUUCAUAUUUAGAAAAAAGCCAUUUUCACUUCUUACAGAGUAGUCCUGCAUAACCUGUCUAACAGUGCAAAGGAAAUAUAUGUGUAUGAGAAAAUGCAUACCCUCUCUCUCUUCAAAUAAAUACAAAGUAUACGUCAUAGCUGCACUAGUACUCCAACAUAAAACCAUGGGAUAUUUAGUUUUUCAACACUUAUUUCUUUUUAGAUGAAUUCGUCACUAGGAAUCUUGACUAAGUAAGAAAUGCGAUACUGAAGGAGAGGAUUAAGUCAAAAUGUGUUUGAAAAUGAAUGUAGAAGUAGAUGUGAGAGUUGUUCUUAGGGACCCUCAUCUAGAUCACAUCUGGGUUUUUAAACAGUGUGACCUCUUGAUAACCACCUUUUACUUCACUGCUAGUAUGAUAUUGUAUGUUUAUACAGGGGAUCAUUAACAGUACAGCUGCAAUGUAAUUGAAUGCAGAAUUCAAUAACAACAUUGAAGUUAAAAUACCAUAGGAAUAUAAAAUUCCUUUUCUAUCUUUCUCAGCCUAAUUGGGGGCUUUUCGCUAUUCUCUCUUUCUCUCUCUAUCUCUUUCUCUCUCUAUCUCUCUUUCUCUCUCUUUUUCUUUCUUUCUCUUUCUCUCUCUAUCUCUCUUUCUUUCUCUCUCUAUCUCUCUUUCUCUCUCUAUCUCUCUCUUUCUUUCUUUCUUUCUUUUCAGUAGUCUACUAUUUCACUUAGCCUAAUGGCAGGGAAGAGGGGCAGCAGAAAAGGUUUAUUUUGAUAGCAGUCUUGUUCACAUGGAAGAAGAUUGCAUUACAUGCAGCUCCAUCCCCAGAUAAGAAAGUGCUCAAAGAAACAGCAGCAGACCCCAAUUAUAAUGAGCUUCCAGCCUUCAAUCUAAAAUGGAGUGGGACUGUUUAUUUAAGGUGAGGGCUUUUUUGUAAAUGAGUCAUGUUAGGGGAAUGAUGCCCAAUUAACUAAUUGCUCUGAAAGGAACCUGAACCCUCUCAUAAAAGGAAGAGGUCACUUUGGAAAUUCGUGCCUUUUCCUGUUAUGAUCAUCCUAAUUAGCUUGUGAUAAAACUGAGAAGUGAGGUGGGGAGUAGAAGUGAAAGAUUUUUGUUCUUGAUGAACUCAUGUGGGAAAUAAAGAAGCACUAGGGACAUGAUUAGUUGGAACAUGUCAAAUGUUUGAACCCAAGGUGUGUCUGCUUUUAUUUCAUAUAAGUGUCAUGAUUUGGGCAGGUAUUUUAAUGGAAAUAUACCAAAUAUAUCCAGGAUCCUCUGUGUGGACUGGAGACUUAACAAUUGAUUUUCAUUAACAAUUAUUUUAAACAAUAUUACAAAAGAUUAUUCUUUAGUUCAUUGUAUGUAUCCCCAAGAUAGCUAUUGAGGGAAAGAAAGCCAUAAUUCCAAGAUUGUCAGGUGGCUUAAUCAUUCAUUUCAUUUGUUUGGGUUUUAUGAAAAAAAGCCUAUCUAUAAAUUUGAUUAUUACAUUCCAUAUAAAUUAUGAUUGUUUUCUAAACCCUGGCCAUUGCAAAUAGUACACAUACAUGCCAGUUCCAGUAGCUUGGAAAUAUGGCUAAAAAUGGCCAUAUUUGGUUGGACAAUCAAAAAAAAAAAAAACAAGAACACUGUUCAUAAAGGAAGAUAACUGUUAACAAUGAACUGAGAGCUAAGAAGUUUUACCAGGGAGAAAGCAAGAGGAGCUACAAAGUGCUUUCAGCUGUUGUUGAAAUAUACAAGAGUUAGGUGGUUUAAGCACAUCAAAGGAGGUAUAAGGUUAUGAUUGCAAGGUUCUGGUGGUCCCAUUUCACAACAGUAGUAUCACUCUUCGUAGUGUCGUGUGAUGACCCUGAUGAUCAAAUGCUGAAAUUUCGUCCUAGUGCUUAUGCACAAGUUUGAAAGCCAAGACAGGCAAAUAGGUUAGUACAAAAAAAUCAUAUGCAGGUCCAUGACCUCAGAAAAUUUGCUAACUAGUGUGUUCACUUCAACAGAUUUUUUAAAGCUUUAAUUUAUAUUACAAAAAUGUUUCUUUCCCUUGUUUUUUAAAGCAUAUCAAUAUCUUCAAGUGUUGUGGGAAUAAAUAUAUAUAAAUAAUAAAUUUAUGAUAAAUAUGGACAUAAUGCUAUAGAUUUUUUUUUUUUUUUUGGUGUUGUAUCAUUUUUGAAGUUCAGCUGCGUUCUAUCUUUUGAGAGAAUAGUGCUAAAAAUAUGGUCGGCAGGACUCUGAGCAGGAUAGACUGACUGCAACAUUACCAUGGAAGAUUUUUCUCUGCAUCUUCAACUCAGCAAUGCUUUGCAAUAAAAGACUCAGGCAUAAUUUCACAGAAGUAUGAAAAAGUGCUUUCCCUUAUAAUGAAGCUUACUUUUAAGCCUUUUACUCUUAUCCUUCCAACCAACUUUGGAAAAGCCAACAUAGUAUGUUUAACAGCUAAUAAGGGGCCUUGACCUGAAAUACGAGAACAGAAGAAGAAGUUUUGGGUCAACAGGAAGGUGAUUAGAAGGAACUGAAAGACAAGGUAACCCUGUCACCCUCUCCCUCCCUUGUAAUAGUAGAAGAAUGAUAAUUUUUCUGAUUCUUUCAGUAUCAGCAGCUCCUUCAUCACCACCCUGUGACUCUAUCAUCCUCCUUUCAUCCUUAAUCCUGUUUUCUGCUUCUAGAUAAUUUAAAAAGGGAAACAAGAAGCAUUCUCUCCAGCUUCAUUAAUUACAUGGGAGGAUAGGCAAAUAUGACUCAGAUCUUUGCUACUUAAAAAUCAGUAAAUCACUCUGUCUGGAUCCUAAAACUGUGCUAGUAACUUUGUAUAUACAAUCCAUAUUAAACUGUAAUUAUUAGAGCUAUGAAAAACUCAGCUGUACCUUUUUCACAAACUGGCAACGUAUGUAAUCUGAUUUUCAUUUAUGUAUGCUGUAUAUUCCCCAAAUUGUUGUGUCAUUAGUAUGAACAGAGAUAGUGUCUCAAAGCAAAACUCUAUCAAGAAAAUGUGUAAACUUGCCUAGCAACAGCCACAGUGCAUCUGAUGAACAGCCCAUCAUAGCUCCAAGUGUAACUAUGAUUUAAGCAGCAUUUACAUCGAAAAAAAAAUAGCACCACUAAAAAUAGAUUAUUCUAGGUUCAAUUUAAUCACUGAGCCCUUAACUGAUUUAUAGAUUUGAGAUUUCAUUAUUACACAAUUCCUCUGGAAUGGAAUUACAGAAACUGGGAAGUCUUGUCAGAGGAAUAAAAAGAAAUUAAUAAGCAGGCAACAACAAAACUAAAGGUAUUCUGUUUCUUCUGUCCACUCUAUGCUUACCAGUGUUAGAAUUGUUAAUCUGCACCACAAGAUAUGUUUGUGAAUCAGAAGGAAUUUAAAACUUGUUAGUCAGGACCAAGUAGAAAUCUGUUUUUCUGAUUAUCUGUUUUUCCAGAGUAUCUUCAGAGUGUCAUUUUACCUUCAGUAUUCAGUACUUCGGAGUUAAUGGGCAGCCCAUACUAAUUCUGUAAUGCAUAGCCAGGAGCAAACAGGCCCCACCUAGGGCAGUUUCUCCUAUUGGAAAAUAAUAGGAAUAUGCAGAUUUGUCCUUCUUUAAUCAAUGGGCAUGAGGGAUAUUAGACACUUGCUAAUGACAUAACUGAAACAUGGAAUAGUCAAUGGCCCAUUAAAUGCUAAAUACAACCAUUUAAUGUCUGUGCAUUUUUAAUCGUAAUUAGUACGUGCUAAUGUGUCUGAAUAUUCAUUGCCCAAAAGUAUGUUAUAAGAUCUUAUUGUUAAUGUCUAGAACCGAUACAACUUUAACUCAGAAAUAUCAGACUUGUAUAUGUCUCUGGAAUAAAAUGUCUUCUAUGCUACUUUUACAACAAGUAACAAAAGUCUCCAGGAGCAAAAGCCAAUCAUUGGCAGUGAUAAAUAAAUAAAUAGAACUACAUAGGGUCAUAGGGUUCAAAAAAAAAAAAAAAGUUCUUUCUUUACACCUCGAAAGUUAUUUCAUGAA